RNAcentral lists this ribosomal RNA (784 nucleotides) under uncultured prokaryote. RNAcentral describes it as "bacterial SSU rRNA". It matches the Rfam family "Bacterial small subunit ribosomal RNA", at positions 683 to 1482 of the family's 1533-position model. The record is from RNAcentral.
GAAAUGCUUAGAUAUCACGANGAACUCCGAUUGCGAAGGCAGCUUGCUGGACUGUAACUGACGCUGAGGCACGAAAGCGUGGGGAUCAAACAGGAUUAGAUACCNUGGUANNNACGCCGUAAACGAUGAAUGCUAGCUGUUAGCGAUAUACUGUUAGCGGCACAGAGAAAUCGUUAAGCAUUCCACCUGGGGAGUACGCCGGCAACGGUGAAACUCAAAGGAAUUGACGGGGGCCCGCACAAGCGGAGGAACAUGUGGUUUAAUUCGAUGAUACGCGAGGAACCUUACCUGGGCUUAAAUUGCAGUGGAAUAACGUGGAAACAUGUUAGCCUUCGGGCCGCUGUGAAGGUGCUGCAUGGUUGUCGUCAGCUCGUGCCGUGAGGUGUCGGCUUAAGUGCCAUAACGAGCGCAACCCUCAUCGAUAGUUACUAACAGGUUAAGCUGAGGACUCUAUCGAGACUGCCGACGUAAGUCGUGAGGAAGGUGGGGAUGACGUCAAAUCAGCACGGCCCUUACGUCCAGGGCUACACACGUGUUACAAUGGGGGGUACAAAGGGCAGCUACCUGGCGACAGGAUGCUAAUCUCUAAAACCUCUCUCAGUUCGGAUUGGAGUCUGCAACCCGACUCCAUGAAGCUGGAUUCGCUAGUAAUCGCGCAUCAGCCACGGCGCGGUGAAUACGUUCCCGGGCCUUGUACACACCGCCCGUCAAGCCAUGGGAGCCGGGGGGACCUGAAGUAUGCAACCGUAAGGAGCGUCCUAGGGUAAAACUGGUGACUGGGGCU